AAAAUAUUGUUAAUAAAAUACGUUUAUGCUAAUUUUAAGGGAUUGAUGUGAACUUUGUUUGGAUUAAAUUUGAUUGGAUUAAAUUUGAUUGAUAAUGUGAUUGACAAUUUAAAUUAAAAAUUUUAAGUAAAGUUAAUUAUUUUGGAAAAAAUAUUUAAUGCUAAUGGCAUUGGGUUGUAAAUAAGUCCAACUUUAGGAUUUAUUUGCUAAAAUGGUUGCAAAAAUGUAUAUAUAGAUACCUUUCGCCAAUUGUAUACAUUGUGUUUCUCAGGAUACGGAAAUAGGUCUCAAAAACAGCAGAAAGUGU
This 307-nucleotide small RNA is filed under the name Arabidopsis thaliana (thale cress). Its description in RNAcentral is "ATSL075880". The record is from RNAcentral. Lineage: Eukaryota; Viridiplantae; Streptophyta; Magnoliopsida; Brassicales; Brassicaceae.